UAGGGAAUAUUGGGCAAUGGCCGAGAGGCUGACCCAGCCAUGCCGCGUGCAGGAAGAAGGCCUUCUGGGUUGUAAACUGCUUUUAUACGGGAAGAAAACGCCCCUGCGGGGGUAACUGACGGUACCGUAUGAAUAAGCACCGGCUAGCUCCGUGCCAGCAGCCGCGGUAAUACGGAGGGUGCAAGCGUUGUCCGGAUUUAUUGGGUUUAAAGGGUGCGUAGGCGGCCCGUUAAGUCAGCGGUGAAAUCCCACGGCUCAACCGUGGAACUGCCGUUGAUACUGGCGGGCUUGAGUUCGGUUAAGGCGGGCGGAACUGGCGGUGUAGCGGUGAAAUGCUUAGAUACCGCCAAGAACCCCGAUUGCGUAGGCAGCUCGCUGAGCCGAAACUGACGCUGAGGCACGAAAGCGUGGGGAGCGAACAGGAUUAGAUACCCUGGUAGUCCACGCCGUAGACGAUGAUGACUCGAUGUUGGCGAUACACUGUCAGCGUCCAAGCGAAAGCGUUAAGUCAUCCACCUGGGGAGUACGCCCGCAAGGGUG
Molecule: ribosomal RNA, 540 nt
Filed under: uncultured bacterium
Lineage: Bacteria
Description: bacterial SSU rRNA
Rfam family: Bacterial small subunit ribosomal RNA
Source: RNAcentral